This 71-nucleotide transfer RNA is filed under the name Salmo salar (Atlantic salmon). It matches the Rfam family "tRNA". From Rfam's summary of the family: Transfer RNA (tRNA) molecules are approximately 80 nucleotides in length. Their secondary structure includes four short double-helical elements and three loops (D, anti-codon, and T loops). The record is from Rfam by way of RNAcentral. Lineage: Eukaryota; Metazoa; Chordata; Actinopteri; Salmoniformes; Salmonidae.
UCCCGUGUGGCUCAGUUGAUAGAGCAUGGUGUUCGCAACGCCAGGGUUGUGGGUUCGACUCCCACGGGGAA